GGAGAGGUGUCAGAGAGGUCUAUAGUGCGAUCUUGGAAAGGUCGUGUGCUGAAAGGCACCGCAGGUUCAAAUCCUGUCCUCUCCGCCA
Molecule: transfer RNA, 88 nt
Filed under: Bacillota bacterium
Lineage: Bacteria; Bacillati; Bacillota
Description: tRNA-Ser
Rfam family: tRNA
About the family: Transfer RNA (tRNA) molecules are approximately 80 nucleotides in length. Their secondary structure includes four short double-helical elements and three loops (D, anti-codon, and T loops).
Source: RNAcentral